UCACGGAACACUUCCAUAUCCAGCUUUCUAGGAGCGCUUCUAGGAGUACUUCCAGGAGUUUUUGACGAUUCAUGGUAUUAGUUCCAUUUUGACGCAGAUUCAAGCAAUAAUACUUCUGACAGUACUUGCAAGUGACAUAAGUUUUGCCAUCAGAAUGUUUCUCUCCUGGUGUGAAAUUGUUCCAGCACUUAGCACGACGUCUACUUGAACUACUACUACUGAUACCUC
This 228-nucleotide long non-coding RNA is filed under the name Brassica napus (rape). Its description in RNAcentral is "long non-coding RNA (BNAP_LNC009486)". The record is from RNAcentral. Lineage: Eukaryota; Viridiplantae; Streptophyta; Magnoliopsida; Brassicales; Brassicaceae.